This 85-nucleotide transfer RNA is filed under the name Felis catus (domestic cat). It matches the Rfam family "tRNA". Rfam says of the family: Transfer RNA (tRNA) molecules are approximately 80 nucleotides in length. Lineage: Eukaryota; Metazoa; Chordata; Mammalia; Carnivora; Felidae. The record is from Rfam by way of RNAcentral.
GCCUGGGUGGCUCAGUCGGUUGAGCGUCCGACUUCAGCUCAGGUCAUGAUCUGGCGGCUCGUGGGUUCGAGCCCCACGUCGGGCU